Long non-coding RNA from Papaver somniferum (opium poppy), 538 nucleotides. RefSeq lists it as uncharacterized. Lineage: Eukaryota; Viridiplantae; Streptophyta; Magnoliopsida; Ranunculales; Papaveraceae. The transcript is spliced from 3 exons. The record is from RefSeq and is a predicted model, not a curated record.
UAACUUUUUGUCUUGUGUAAGUUGAUUUUGUUCUACGUUUGUUCAUAGAUAGCCUUGAAGAAGUUCGCAAACAGAAGGGAUAUCAGUUAUGCAGUUAUGGUGCUCGACCAACUAACCCAUCCUUCGUUAUAGUUUACGACCCUUAACGUAAGCCCGACGGUUUAAGACGAUUUCAAGGUUUUACUAUUUGACUAGGUGUCUCUGAAUUCAGUUGGCGGAUUGCGAGAUCUGAGGUGGAAAGGUACUUGGCUGAACCGAUAUACACCCCCACCAAUGACAAUGCUGCUUUUGAUAUAUUACAGUGGUGGAAGGUUAAUGCUGCGAGGUUUGACAUUUUUCCACUCAUGGCUAAAGAUGUAUUUGCUGUUCCCGUUUCUUCCGUUGCUUCAGAAUCAGCAUUUAGUACCGGAAAAAGAAUUUUGGAUCAUUUUCGAAGUUCCUUAAAGCCUAAGACACUUGAGGCCUUAAUUUUGUUGCAAAAUUGAUUACGUUCACCAAUAGACAUGGAUUCUUCUACCCUUGGAAUCGAGGAGGAGGA